GUGCCAGCAGCCGCGGUAAUACGUAGGUGGCAAGCGUUGUCCGGAUUUAUUGGGCGUAAAGCGAGCGCAGGCGGUUUCUUAAGUCUGAUGUGAAAGCCUUCGGCUCAACCGAAGAAGUGCAUCGGAAACUGGGAAACUUGAGUGCAGAAGAGGACAGUGGAACUCCAUGUGUAGCGGUGAAAUGCGUAGAUAUAUGGAAGAACACCAGUGGCGAAGGCGGCUGUCUGGUCUGUAACUGACGCUGAGGCUCGAAAGCAUGGGUAGCAAACAGGAUUAGAUACCCUGGUAGUCCAUGCCGUAAACGAUGAGUGCUAGGUGUUGGAGGGUUUCCGCCCUUCAGUGCCGCAGCUAACGCAUUAAGCACUCCGCCUGGGGAGUACGACCGCAAGGUUGAAACUCAAAGGAAUUGACGGGGGCCCGCACAAGCGGUGGAGCAUGUGGUUUAAUUCGAGGCAACGCGAAGAACCUUACCAGGUCUUGACAUCCUUUGACCACUCUAGAGAUAGAGCUUUCCCUUCGGGGACAAAGUGACAGGUGGUGCAUGGUUGUCGUCAGCUCGUGUCGUGAGAUGUUGGGUUAAGUCCCGCAACGAGCGCAACCCUUAUUACUAGUUGCCAGCAUUUAGUUGGGCACUCUAGUGAGACUGCCGGUGACAAACCGGAGGAAGGUGGGGACGACGUCAAAUCAUCAUGCCCCUUAUGACCUGGGCUACACACGUGCUACAAUGGAUGGUACAACGAGUUGCGAGACCGCGAGGUUUAGCUAAUCUCUUAAAACCAUUCUCAGUUCGGAUUGUAGGCUGCAACUCGCCUACAUGAAGCCGGAAUCGCUAGUAAUCGCGGAUCAGCAUGCCGCGGUGAAUACGUUCCCGGGCCUUGUACACACCGCCCGU
Molecule: ribosomal RNA, 892 nt
Filed under: uncultured bacterium
Lineage: Bacteria
Description: bacterial SSU rRNA
Rfam family: Bacterial small subunit ribosomal RNA
Source: RNAcentral